This 317-nucleotide small nuclear RNA is filed under the name Castor canadensis (American beaver). RNAcentral describes it as "7SK RNA (ENSCCNG00000002231.1)". It matches the Rfam family "7SK RNA". From Rfam's summary of the family: 7SK was discovered as an abundant small nuclear RNA in the mid-70s but a possible function has only recently been suggested. Two independent studies have found that 7SK RNA binds the CDK9/cyclin T complex (known as elongation factor P-TEFb). P-TEFb activates transcription by phosphorylating the C-terminal domain of RNA polymerase II. The record is from Rfam by way of RNAcentral. Lineage: Eukaryota; Metazoa; Chordata; Mammalia; Rodentia; Castoridae.
GUGGUAAUCUGCCUGUGAUAUCUGUCACCCCAUUGAUUGCCAGGGUUGAUUUGGCUGAUCUGGCUGGCGAGGCAGGUGUCCCCUUCCUCCCUCACCACUCCAUGUGUGUCCCUCCUGAAGCCAUGCACUAGGUCAAAGAGUACAACCAUCCAGAUAGAGGAGGACCAUUCUUUGGUCAAGGGUAUGCGAGUAGCCAUGCUCCCUUGCUAGAAACUCCAAACAAACUCUCAGGCACAAUUUUAGAGAAUUAGGGACACAAUUCCAAUUCAUAUUUGCUAUUUGAAACCAGGCAACUCUUCCUGGAAGUCAUCUGUGUU